RNAcentral lists this unclassified non-coding RNA (512 nucleotides) under Hevea brasiliensis (rubber tree). The record is from RNAcentral. Lineage: Eukaryota; Viridiplantae; Streptophyta; Magnoliopsida; Malpighiales; Euphorbiaceae.
GCCAAGCCAACACAACGAGACAUAAAGACGUACCUUCGGUUUUGUAAGAAAGUUCUAAACAAUGAACCAUGAAAAGUAAAAUUUGGUUGAAACAGAGUAUAUCUUCAUCCUAGCUUCUUCCUCACUUCCGACAACCAUGGCAAGGGUUUUGAUAUAGCUGUCGAUAAUCUCAUCCCUCGUGAGUUGCUCAUCUGGCUUCUCCAUGACAACGAGCCAGUGUUCAAAAUCACACCCAUCAAGCAAUAUGGUCUCCUUGGGUGGGCGAUUAGACCAGUUAGGAUUCGGAUCAUUGAGAGACGAAGAAGUGGCACGGGUAGCGAACUCCCUCACGCUCGGAGACGCAGAGAGACAGCGGAAAUCAGCGGCGAGUAUAGCAGCGAGGGGACGGAGGCGGCGCAGAAGGGAGAAAGAGGAGUGAGAAGAGGCGGCUCCGGUGGCAGUGAGAAAGGAACGAGAGAACUUAGAAGCCAAAAUUAGGGUUUUAGGGAGAGAGCGAGAGAGGAGCUGAGUCG